This 111-nucleotide ribosomal RNA is filed under the name Caerostris darwini. The record is from RNAcentral. Lineage: Eukaryota; Metazoa; Arthropoda; Arachnida; Araneae; Araneidae.
ACGGCCGUACCAUGCUGAAUAUACCGGUUCUCGUUAGAUCACCGAAGUCAAGCAUCAUUGGGCGCGGUCAGUACUUGGGUGGGUGACCAUCUGGGAACACUGCGUGCCGUU